UACAGAGGUCUCAAGCGUUGUUCGGAUUCAUUGGGCGUAAAGGGCGCGUAGGUGGUUCUGUAUGUCUACCGUGAAAGCGUACGGCUCAACCGUAUUUUGUCGGUGGAAACUGCAGGACUCGAGGCUGGGAGGGGCUGGUGGAAUUCCCUGUGUAGCGGUGAAAUGCGUAGAGAUGGGGGAGAACACUCGUGGCGAAGGCGGCCAGCUAGACCAGUUCUGACACUGAGGCGCGACAGCGUGGGGAGCAAACAGG
Molecule: ribosomal RNA, 253 nt
Filed under: uncultured bacterium
Lineage: Bacteria
Description: partial 16S ribosomal RNA
Rfam family: Bacterial small subunit ribosomal RNA
Source: RNAcentral